Molecule: long non-coding RNA, 10137 nt
Filed under: Vitis vinifera (wine grape)
Lineage: Eukaryota; Viridiplantae; Streptophyta; Magnoliopsida; Vitales; Vitaceae
Description: long non-coding RNA (VVIN_LNC003345)
Source: RNAcentral
CUUCCAAGAUGUCUAAGGCAUACUUCCUUUGUAACAUAACCACACCUGAACUGGAUUGAGCUAUUUCAAGUCCCAGAAAGUACUUGAGUUUGCCCAAGUCUUUAGUUUGAAAGUGAUUGAAAAGGUGUUGCUUUAGUCUUUGAAUACCCUCUUGAUCACUGCCUGUAAUGACAAUGUCAUCCACAAAAACUACCAAAUAGAUGCACUGACUUGAAGAAUUAUGAUGAUAGAAAAUUGAAUGAUCUGCUUCACUCCGAAGCAUUCCAAACUCUUAAACAACUGAACUAAAACGGCCAAACCAUGCCCAAGGAGACUGUUUCAAGCCAUAUAGAGAGCGGCGUAACUUGCACACUAAACUAGACUCCCCUUGAGCAACAAAACCAGGUGGUUGCUCUAUAUACACUUCCUCGAGAAGUUCACUAUGAAGGAAAACAUUCUUAAUAUCCAACUGAUAAAGAGGCCAAUGACACAUAGCUGCCAUGGAGAGAAAUAAGAGAACAUAAGCAAUCUUGGCAACAGGAGAGAAUGUGUCACCAUAGUCACAACCAUAAAUUUGAGUAUAACCUUUAGCAACCAAGCGGGCCUUAAGGCAAUCAACCUGACCAUCAGGACCAACUUUAACAGUGUAGACCCAACGACAUCCAAUUGUAAAUUGACUAGGAGGUAAAGAAACAAGAUCCCAUGUGCCAUUGGAGUGCAGAGUAGCCAUUUCAUCAACCAUUGCAUGUCGCCACCCAGGAUGAGAAAGUGCCUCAUUAGUGCUCUUAGGAAGAGAAACAGAAUAUAAAGUAGAGACAAAGGCAGAAUAGGAUGAAGAUAAUCGAUAGUAGCUCAAAAAAUUAUAAAUAGGAUGAGGAUUACUAGUAGAUCGAUUACCUUUCCGAAGAGCAAUAGGCAAAUGGUGAAUAGAUAACAGGGUCAAGGUAGGAGAAAUCGAUGGGACAGGAGGUGAGUUCAGGUACCUCAGCUAAAGAGAGAGGAGGAGCAACAACAUGAUGUCGACGAUGAUAAACCUAAAGAGGACGAGAGAGCGCAUCUGAAGGGGGGAAUAUAUAGGGAAGUGGCAAUACUUCAGAAAUGGGAAGAGAUUCAGAGGAUGAGAAGAAUGGAGAGUCCUCAAUGAAGGUGACAUCAGCAGAGAGAAAAUAACGAUGAGUGUCAGGGGAAUAACAACGAUAGCCCUUCUGAAGUCUAGAGUAUCCCAAGAAGAUGCAUUUCGUAGCCUUGGUGGAGAGUUUGUCCUGUCCAGGUGUGAGAGUAUGAACAAAACAAGUACAACCAAAGACACGAGGAGGAAAAAAAUAAAGAGGUUGCGUAGGAAAAAGGAGGGAAUGAGGGAUUUGGUCAUGUGAUAUAGAUGAGGGCAUACGAUUAAUCAAGUAACAGGCUGUAAGAACAGCAUCCCCCCAAAAACGAAAAGGAGCAUGACUAUGGAGAAGGAGGGUACGAGCUAUCUCAACAAGAUGUCGAUUUUUACGUUCAGCAACCCCAUUUUGUUGAGAAGUAUGAGCACAAGAUGAUUGAUGGAAGAUCCCAUGUUGGGACAUAAAAGAAGUAAAGGGUGUAGAAAAAUAUUCCCGAGCAUUGUCACUACGUAACACUCGAAUAGAAACAUUGAAUUGUGUUUGGAUUUCAGCAUAAAAUUUCUGGAAAAUAGAGAAUAACUCAACUUGAUUUUUCAUUAAAAAUAACCAAAUACAUCUUGAAUAAUCAUCAAUGAAAGUGACAAAAUACUGAAAUCCUAAAGUAGACGCGGUCCAAUACGGACCCCAAAUAUCAGUGUGGACAAGUUCAAAAGGAAACUUUGCCCGAUUAUUCAAACGCUUUGGGAACGAGAUACGAGUAUGUUUCCCAAGAUGACACGACUCACACGCAAGCGACGACAAAGUGGAAAAACGAGGGACCAUCUUCUGGAACUUGGAGAGACUAGGAUGACCCAGACGAUUGUGAAUGAGAAGAGGAGCAUCAGUGGAAAUGCAAGCUGCAGGAAAUGAAGGUGAUGUGAGGUGAUAGAGGCCUUGAGACUCACGCUCUAUGCCAAUCGUCUUCCCCGUACUCCGGUCCUGCAAGAUCACAGAUUUAUCAGAAAAAGUGAUAGAACAGUUAAGAGCGCGAAUUGUUUUACUGAUGGAAAUAAGAUUAAAAGGACAAUCAGGGGCAUAAAGGACAAAAUGGAGAGGUAGGGAAGGGAGAGGAUGAGCCAAACCAAUACAUUUAGCCAUAGUUUGGGAACCAUUAGCUAAAGUAACGGUAGGUAAGACAGAGGUAGUAGUAAUAGAGGAGAAAAGGUGUUUAUUACUAGAUAUAUGAUCAGAUGUUCCAGAAUCUAGAAUACAUGGGCCAAGAGAAGGAGACUGAGUAAAGCAAACAGAGACAUUAUCGGUCUGAGCAACAGAAGUAACAGAAGUUGAUGUGGCUGCCUGAUAUCAGAGAUAGGCAUCAUAAUCACUACCAGUAAGGGUGAUACUUUGAGAUGUGGAGCUCGUAGCGGAGUCAGGUCGAGAUAGCAAAGGAUCGGAUGAUUGAGCAAUGUGGGCAGUGCAAGGAGGCCGUCCAUGUAACUGAUAGCAACGAUCUCGUGACCAAGCUUAUUACAAUAGGUGCACUGAGGAUGUUGUCCUCGACCCCGAUUGCCACUAUGUCCUCCUCGAAAGUUAGUCUGAGAGGCUAACACAGAUGAAUCUGACGAACCAUCAGUCGACAAGGUUUGAGUAGAGGAGAGGCGUAAGAGAUGAGCGAACACAUCAUCCAAUGAUGGUAUUGAUGGACUAGCAAGAAUCUGAUCUCGGACAGACUCAAAAUCUGGAUGAAGGCCAAUGAGGGUUAACACCAUAAAGAACUUGUCAGUUUGUAUUUGUUGAACUUCAGCACCAUUAGUGAAGGGCAUCAAAGUUAAGAACUCCUCCUUAAGAGACGCAAUCCGGCCAAUAUAAGUAGAUAGAUCCAUGUCCUGUUGUCUCAUAUGAACAACAUCAGAAACCACCUUAUAAAAUCGUUGAAUAUCAUUCGUGUAUAAUCCUUUAGCUUAAGUCCAAAAUUUAAAGCAGGUUUUGUAGGCACGAAGAUGAUGUAAAAUUUUGGGAUCAACAGAUUGCCAUAAUACGCUGCAUAAUUGUGCAUCGAUUUUCUUCCAUUGCACUUUGUCAACAUCAGGUAUAGCAUCCUCAGGUGUAACAAGAUGAUCCUCAUAACCUUGUCCCAUAAACCAGAGUUCCACGGACGCUGACCAAGAGAGAUAAUUCUCACUACCAAUCAAUUUUUCCGAUGUGAAAAGUUUUCUCCCUUGGCUUUGAUACCAUGUUGAAAGAGAGAGAGAGAAAACUUUAAUUCUCAUUCAUAUAUUAACUUCUUACAAUAGAGAAAUAUAUAUACAAGGCUAGAUUGAACUAACUACCAUAUAUGUGACCUAUAUUAAGAAAGGAAAGAAAGAUUGUACACUAUAAAUAUAUUAUAUUCAACACAAUGGACCCUAACUCCGCCUCAGACAUCACAUCUAUUUGGUGGGGGGAAAAAAUGUGGUAUCCCUAUCUGCAUCCAAUUCCUUUAUACUACCAGUAGGCAAUUGCAAUUGCAUAGGAAAAUGUUGACUUCACGUUCAAUCAGACAAUCAAUUUCUUCAAAUCCAAGAAUAAAGAUCAAUGGAUUGCAAGGAUUGAAAAUAAUGUGAACAACUUUUGGAAUCAAAAGAGUGACGAUGAUAAGGGUACAGUCAUACUUCUUGGUAUAACAUCACCCUUUUCUUCAACCAUUUUGGGUCACAAUUCAACAUACAAACCAUGUCACCAUAUUUUUUUACUAAGCAAUUGUCCACCCAGGCAGUCAAAGUACUAGAAUCAAAUGUAGUGAAUGAAAGAAAGUUAAAUUAAAAAUUCCAAUCAAAAAGAAAGUUAAAUUGAAAUCAGCAUGUCUGAUAAGGACCUGCAGUAUUUUGGAAUGAAAUUUUGUUUAUGCAAUCCUUUUAGGGUCCUUUAACAAUGGCAGGCAUUUGUCCAGAAAUGUGCAGAAUUUUCACUGAAAAUAGAUGAAGAGCCUAUCAACACGCAAGAGAGCGCCUACUUCAAAUACAUUUGUCAAUCAAAAUAACUUUCUCAGCCCAUGAGCCAAGUUUCUAAGAGCUAAGAGUUUAAAUCAGAAUCUAAGAGGUGAGAAUUGACUUUAACUCUGGUGAUAAAUAUAGACUCACUAAAGCAAAUGAGCAACAAGCCCACACAUGUGGCGAUGUACUAUGAAGGAGGAAAAGUUGGGCCAUCCAUGAAAGAGUGGUCUCAGAAAAAAGGUCUCCUAAACCAAAGCUUGAAAAGAUUAGAUAAUGAUCAAUUGAGUUGCCAAUGUUUCUCUUUUGGCUGUUAAUAUGGGAGACAAUAUAGACCAACUGUACUACCCUCCAAUAUAUCAAAGUUGGGCAUCAACCUCCCUGAAUUGUCAAUUAGUGAUUCAAUUCCUUGCCCAGGUACCAAAAUCCAGAUCUGAACUGUUAUUAGAAUUAAUAUGUAAUUUAAUAAUUAAAAGAAAUUACUAGGUUGAAAACUGACCUCCCAUUCAGAAGUUGUAAGAGGGAUGCUUGGAUCCAGCAUUGUUGUCACCACAUCGACAAAAGGUACUCUAGUAACAGCAGCCUUGAAUAAAUCUGGCCGCAUGUUAAGAACAGCACCGAUAAGCAACCCUCCUGCACUUCCUCCCUGAAUGCACAAUUUUUCCUUUGAACAGAACUUCAUCUCUAUUAGAUACUCAGCACAAGCAAUAAAAUCUGUAAAUGUAUUUCUCUUCUUCAACAACUUCCCAUUCUCAUACCACUGCCUCCCCAUUUCACCACCACCACGAAUGUGUGCUAUUGCAAAUAUAAAACCCCGAUCUAAUAGAGAGAGCCUUGAAGCUUUGAAACUUGGAUCUAUGCAAAUCUGUUGGCAACACAAGAUUCUGCAGCUCUAACAUACUUAAAAUAUAAAUCAUGAAAUACAGGUGAUAAACAACCAAAAAACCACACUUAAUGCCACUACACCAAUUUAUAGACAUGCUUAACAAGGGAUAUUAACAUGAAACAAUUAUGGAAAUGUUUUGUCCAAUUAUCGCAUUUACUAGUUUAUCAAUAUAUUUUCUGACAACUGAAAACCCUUUCUGAUAUGGCAACAGUUGUAUAAGAAAGGAUGGACAAAAGUGCUCAAAGAAUGUGACCAAGGAAGCUGAACCCUUUUAGGUUGUUGAAGCACCCGAAUAGGAGACGCACAAGAGAAUGGACAGAAGCAGAGAUAUAUUAUGCCAAAAAUAAGUAAAGUAUUCCUCAAAAAUAAUAAUUUAGCCAUAGGUAUGAGAAACCAGGGUGGAAUGGUUAAUUCCUUCUCUAGAUAAGAAAUUGCAAAAAUGUGACAUGCUAAUGCGUACAUAUAUAUAUAUAUAUAGAAAUAUAUAUAUAAUCUUAAAGCAGUAAUUUUGAUCUUUGGAAACACUAAAACACUUGAAAAUUAAAGAAACAUUAGUUUCGUUUUUAUUAUUAUUUAUUUAUUUAUUUAUUUUCUCCAAAAAAUGAUUUAUCUCGAGGAACAGGGUAGUAAAUCCUCUUGGCACAAGUAGAAGCAAGUUAAUUAAUCCACAAAAUUACAAGUUACCUCAUAUGAACCAUAGCCAUAAAGAAGUAAUGGAUCAGAUCCAUCAAGUUUCACAAGAUCCUUUCGGUAAACAAUUGAUAGAGGAAUUUGAGUGCCAUCUGAAGCAUUCGCCCAUUUCCUUUCAGUUAUAUAUUUUGAUGCAUCAAAAUCCCCCAAAACCUGAGCAAAAGAGUGGAAAGAAAAACUGAGAUGAGAUAUACAUAUUUUAGCUCACAGAAAAGAAAGAAAAAAUAGAACAAAUUCUUGGCUAGACAAAUAAAGUUAAUAGAGGAUUUAGAGAAGUAACUGAAACAACUGAAAAAUACACUUGAUUAUGAACACCAAGUGUUUUUUUUUUAGUUGUGCAAGUGGAAAGCAAGAAUUUCAAUUAUUAUUAUUAUAUCAACCCAUUAUUUACAUAGUCAUUUCUAGCCUAGAAAUAAAUGAAGUAAAUGCAUUUUUGAGAUGGACAUGGUCCUGUUCAAUUUAAAUUGGUCAUUUUGUUACAAAGAACAGCAGAUUCCAAACUCAUCUUGAAAUUAAUCCUUUUUCUCUUUCAAAUAAUUAUCAUUAAGAGCGCCAAACAGGUUCCAAGCUAUGGUGGCAAGAGGUUCCUAUAGAGUUAUUCCAAGGUUGUAUUUGCCCAAAGCAUUUUCCCAAAGGAUUGAGAAUACCUACGCCAUACAAAAUGAAAACACAGGAAAAUCUAUAUGCAGCCCAAUGCCACAUAUCCUUGAUUAGGUUACCUUGCAAAUUUACUGACUUCCAUGUACAACUACUCAUACCAAACACAGAUAAACUCCUCCAAGGCCCAGCACUUUCCAAUCCAACAACCCACUGGAUCUGGAUCAAAAAAAGUAACAUCAUACAGAAUAAGUUGAAUACAUCCAGGGGUUUCCCAAACUGAAAAAAUCACUUGAAAGGCCUUUUCAUGGAAAAACAAGGGUUCUUUGUGGAAAAAUUCUCUGGGAAUUAAAAAUAGAUGUUUAAAUGCAGAGGUGAGGAUUCUGAUGAAAAAAUAUGAUUUUACACUAACUAAAGAAACAAAGUGAAUGGGCUUAUCUAAUAAAGACAGCUGAAAUUUUGAAAACCUGGAUCUCUUGGAUCCAGACUUAUCCAAACCGAACCAAGAAUACUCUUCUUGUGGGUCUGGUGCAGUUUCGACAAAAAAAAAUAAAAAAUUGCAUUUUAUACUUAACAAUUUCCUGAAAACCUAUCCAAUAAAAACUAAGGUCUUUAAAACAAUUACUGUUGAGUUGUAAAUAGAAUAGGAGAAUUAUUUUCCUAUUAUGUUAGUUUCCUAUUUCUAUAAAUAGAUAGUUUUAUUAGUUUCCUAUUUCUGUAAAUAGAUAGUUUUAUGAUUUAGGAAUAAGUUAGUUUCUUAUUAUGUCUCUUGUUUCCUAUUUCUUUUCUUGUAAUCUCCUAUACAAACUGUGUGUAUAGUCAAUCUAAUAGACAAAACUUAUUAUUAUUAUUACUAUUAUUUUUAUUUUUUUAUCAGAAACGAAGAAAAUUAUAUUAAUAAAAGAACAAAUACAAGAGAGAAAAAAGAGACAAUAGAAAGAGAAAAAAACCAAGGGAAGGAUAAGAGGUCCUUCCUACACAAAUACCAAGGAAAAACACCCAACAAUAGAACUCUAAAAACAAAAGAAACCCCAUCAAUCUUCAAACUCUUGAGACGCAAACCCCAAUCCAAUUGAGUUGUAGAAUGCUUAGAGGAACUCCUCUAAAAGCUUCAAUACAAGAAGCCCAUAGAGAAGAAUAAAACCGGAUCAAAUCCCAAACCAUCUCUUCCGUUCUCCCUUUAUCCUCAAAGAUCCUUUUGUUUCUUUCUUGCCACACCAUCCAAAUCAAAGUAAGGCAAGCAAUUUGCCAAAGUGUCUUGCCUCUUAAUGAGUUUCCCAAGCCUUUAAAAGAAAUAACCAACAUGUCCUCAAGGCUCCUUGGAGGGACCCAAAUCAAACCUACUAGAUUGAACAACCUGUGCCAAAGUCCAAUGGUAAUGGGACAAUGAAGAAAAAGGUGGUCAAUCGACUCUCCAUUUCCUUUGCAAAGAAUGCAUCAUUGAGGAUAGAGGGCUUUGUAGGGUCUUCUCAAUUGCAACUUGUCAUUAGUGUUUAUCUUCCCAUGUGCUACUAACCAAGCGAGGGCCUUAACCUUUGAAGGGACUUUUGAGCUCCAUAAAAACUUGGCUGGAAGGAACAUUAAAGGAUUUGAAACUUUUGACAAGGCAUAGAAAAAAGAUUUCACUGAAAACGAGCCUGACGAAGACAAAGACCACACUCUUGAGUCUGAUGAAGAAGGGGAAAGAAGCACAAAAUUAAGGGAGGACAUUAAUCUCUGAAGGAGAUCAAUUUUUGAAUCUGUUAGAUUACGGCGAAAGUUAAAAUUCCAAGACAAUGGUAAGGAAUUGUCAAGGACAUUUGAGACAGUGAGGUUUUUCACAGAAAUAACUCUGUAGAGAUCAGCAAAUUGAGAACACAAAGUUUGGUUUCCCCACCAAAGAUCUUCCCAAAACCGAAUUCUCUCCCCAUUGCCCACCACUAGGCGGACAAAAGGGGAGAACUCCUGGAAAACUUGAGCAAUAGCCUUCCAAGGACAUCUGUGAGACCAUCUAACCACCAUGUUGGCGUCCCAUCCAUUAGGAUGUGUCCCAUAUAUACUCGCAAUAACCUUAUGCCAAAGAUCGCUCCUUUCUCUAGGGAACCUCCAGAGCCAUUUCCCUAAGAGGGCAAUAUUUCUCAUAGAAGUCUUCCCAAAGCCCAAACCUCCCAUCUCCUUUGGUCUACUAACAACCUCUCAUCUGAUUAGGUGAUCUUUCUUCCCUUCCCCGGCCCCAAACCAAAGAAAAUCCCUUUGCAUCUUCUCAAUCUUUGAAGCUAUAGAUACAGGGAUUUUGAAGAGGGAGAGGAAGUAGCUAGGGAUGUGAGACAGACAAGACUGAAUUAAAGUAAUCCUCCCUCCCAAAGACAAAUAGGCCUUUUUCCACCCAUCCAGCCUCCUCGAAAUUCUCUCAACCACUGGAUCCCAAAAGCCUAUUGUCUUUGGGUUCCCUCUCAAAGGAAGGCCUAAAUAAGACAAAGGCCACUCUGACACUCUACACUCCACAACCAAAGCCAAACUAGACAACACCUCCUGCCCAGUGUUAAUACCUGAAAUGGUGCUUUUUUCUAAGUUGAUUUUUAAACCAGAUACUUGCCCAAAAACCAAAAGGAUAAUCUUAAGGUUUUGAAGAAGGUCCAAAGAGGCUUUAGAGAAAAAUAUGGUAUCAUCAGCAAACUGUAACAAGGACACUCUAGUCCUAUCCCUCCCCACAAGGAAACCCUCAGUUAUCCCAGUUUCCUCAGCUCUAAUCAUCAACCUACUUAGAACAUCUGCUACUAGAGUAAAAAGGAAAGGAGAAAGAGGAUCUCCCUGUCUCAAACCUCUAAAGGCCUUAACCCAACCCUUUGCAUUCCCAUUAACUAGGAUUGCAAAACUAGAAGAAGAUAAACAGCCCCUCAUCCAAGAUCUCCAUUUCUGGCUGAACCCCUUCCUUUGAAGCACAUGAUCUAAAAAGCCCCAAUCCACAUGAUCAUAGGUCUUCUCAAAAUCAAUUUUGAAGACUACCCCUUCCUCCCUUGACCUUUUUUUCUCAUCCACCACUUCAUUGGCUAUCAAUACAGCAUCCAAAAUUUGUCUCCCUUCCACAAAGGCUCCUUGAGAGCCAAAGAUUGUUUCAUGUAGAACUUUGCGUAAACGCCCUGAUAAGACCUUAGCAAUUAUCUUAUAUAAACUUGUAACCAAACUAAUAGGUCUAUAAUCUGAGAUUUUAAAAGUUUGGCUUUUCUUAGGCACCAUAGCAAUGAAUGUCGCAUUUGUACUUUGAUUUAUUACCCCCUUAGUGUGGAACUCAAAAAACACCCUCAUUAGAUCCUCUUUUAUCACAUCCCAACACUCUUGAUAAACUGCUAUAGUAAAGCCAUCAGGGCUCAGGGCCUUUUCCUUAUUCAAUUGGAAAACUGCCAUUCGAACCUCCUCUUCAGAAAACGGUCUAUCCAACCAAAUUGCACUCUUUUCAGAAAUAAGGGCCCAAUCAAUCUCUUCAAUCUUCCAAGAGUCACCUUCGGGUUUGGAAUAGAGAUUCCCAAAGAAAUUUACAAUCUCCUCAGAAAUAAUCUCAAUGUUAUUUAAAGUCUCCCCCCUCUCAGAAAUCAGAGACUUUAUGAACUUCCUGCUUCUUCUUCCAGUGGCCACUCUGUGAAAAAACUUAGAGUUGCAAUCCCCUUCUUUAAUCCACUUAACCCUAGAUUUUUGUCUCCAUUGCACCUCUUCCUUCAAUAACAAAUCCUCUAGCUCCUUCCUUCUUAGGGUCCUUUCCGAAACCAGAUCAAGAUUUAAAUUCCCUUCUUGUUCAAUUCGAUCAAUUCUGCCUAAGUCCGUAAGAAUGCGCUUUUUCCUCUCUCUUAAAUCUCCAAAGACCACUAUAUUCCACUCUUUCAACUUUGAUUUAAUAAACUUUAGUUUCCUCAUAAACUUGUGACCUUCCCAACCUUCAACCGUACACUCUUGCCAC